GGAUGGAGGAGCCCGCGGCGCAUUAGCUAGUUGGUGGGGUAAACGGCCUACCAAGGCGACGAUGCCGUAGCCGACCUGAGAGGUGGACGGCCACACUGGGACUGAGACACGGCCCAGACUCCUACGGGAGGCAGCAGUAGGGAAUCUUCCGCAAUGGGCGCAAGCCUGACGGAGCAACGCCGCGUGAGCGAAGAAGGCCUUCGGGUUGUAAAAGCUCAGUCGAACUCGGGAAGAGCGGAACGAGGGAGUGGAAAGCCUCGUCGAGACGGUACCGAGAGAGGAAGCCCCGGCUAACUACGUG
This 301-nucleotide ribosomal RNA is filed under the name uncultured bacterium. Its description in RNAcentral is "bacterial SSU rRNA". It matches the Rfam family "Bacterial small subunit ribosomal RNA", at positions 219 to 507 of the family's 1533-position model. The record is from RNAcentral.